RNAcentral lists this ribosomal RNA (201 nucleotides) under Klebsiella pneumoniae. RNAcentral describes it as "partial 16S ribosomal RNA". It matches the Rfam family "Bacterial small subunit ribosomal RNA", at positions 363 to 556 of the family's 1533-position model. RNAcentral also lists the same sequence under 3 other names. Lineage: Bacteria; Pseudomonadati; Pseudomonadota; Gammaproteobacteria; Enterobacterales; Enterobacteriaceae. The record is from RNAcentral.
AUUGCACAAUGGGCGCAAGCCUGAUGCAGCCAUGCCGCGUGUGUGAAGAAGGCCUUCGGGUUGUAAAGCACUUUCAGCGGGGAGGAAGGCGGUGAGGUUAAUAACCUCAUCGAUUGACGUUACCCGCAGAAGAAGCACCGGCUAACUCCGUGCCAGCAGCCGCGGUAAUACGGAGGGUGCAAGCGUUAAUCGGAAUUACUG